GGAAGGGGGAACCCUGAUCUAGCCAUGCCGCGUGAGUGAUGAAGGCCUUAGGGUUGUAAAGCUCUUUCAGCUGGGAAGAUAAUGACGGUACCAGCAGAAGAAGCCCCGGCUAACUCCGUGCCAGCAGCCGCGGUAAUACGGAGGGGGCUAGCGUUGUUCGGAAUUACUGGGCGUAAAGCGCACGUAGGCGGACUGGAAAGUUGGGGGUGAAAUCCCGGGGCUCAACCUCGGAACUGCCUUCAAAACUAUCAGUCUGGAGUUCGAGAGAGGUGAGUGGAAUUCCGAGUGUAGAGGUGAAAUUCGUAGAUAUUCGGAGGAACACCAGUGGCGAAGGCGGCUCACUGGCUCGAUACUGACGCUGAGGUGCGAAAGCGUGGGAGCAAACAGGAUUAGAUACCCUGGUAGUCCACGCCGUAAACGAUGAAUGCCAGACGUCGGGCAGCAUGCUGUUCGGUGUCACACCUAACGGAUUAAGCAUUCCGCCUGGGGAGUACGGUCGCAAGAUUAAAACUCAAAGGAAUUGACGGACUCAUA
This 534-nucleotide ribosomal RNA is filed under the name uncultured Paracoccus sp. RNAcentral's name for it is "bacterial SSU rRNA". It matches the Rfam family "Bacterial small subunit ribosomal RNA", at positions 370 to 923 of the family's 1533-position model. The record is from RNAcentral. Lineage: Bacteria; Pseudomonadati; Pseudomonadota; Alphaproteobacteria; Rhodobacterales; Paracoccaceae.